This 72-nucleotide transfer RNA is filed under the name Camelus bactrianus (Bactrian camel). It matches the Rfam family "tRNA". Rfam says of the family: Transfer RNA (tRNA) molecules are approximately 80 nucleotides in length. Their secondary structure includes four short double-helical elements and three loops (D, anti-codon, and T loops). RNAcentral also lists the same sequence under 2 other names. The record is from Rfam by way of RNAcentral. Lineage: Eukaryota; Metazoa; Chordata; Mammalia; Artiodactyla; Camelidae.
GUGGGUGUAGCUCAGGGGUAGAGUGCCUGCUUAGCAUGCAGGAGGUCCUGGGUUCAAUCCCCAGUACCUCCA